Molecule: ribosomal RNA, 460 nt
Filed under: uncultured bacterium
Lineage: Bacteria
Description: partial 16S ribosomal RNA
Rfam family: Bacterial small subunit ribosomal RNA
Source: RNAcentral
CCUACGGGAGGCAGCAGUGAGGAAUAUUGGUCAAUGGACGCGAGCCUGAACCAGCCAAGUAGCGUGAAGGAUGACUGCCCUACGGGUUGUAAACUUCUUUUAUAUGGGAAUAAAAUGUUCCACGUGUGGGAUUUUGUAUGUACUAUAUGAAUAAGGAUCGGCUAACUCCGUGCCAGCAGCCGCGGUAAUACGGAGGAUCCGAGCGUUAUCCGGAUUUAUUGGGUUUAAAGGGAGCGUAGGUGGGUUGUUAAGUCAGUUGUGAAAGUUUGCGGCUCAACCGUAAAAUUGCAGUUGAUACUGGCAGUCUUGAGUACAGUAGAGGUGGGCGGAAGUCGUGGUGUAGCGGUGAAAUGCUUAGAUAUCACGAAGAACUCCGAUUGCGAAGGCAGCUCACUAGACUGCAACUGACACUGAUGCUCGAAAGUGUGGGUAUCAAACAGGAUUAGAUACCCGUGUAGUC